Homo sapiens (human) is the source of this 239-nucleotide long non-coding RNA. Ensembl annotates it as PRSS23 antisense RNA 1. Its record names the gene PRSS23-AS1. The record is from Ensembl. NCBI's taxonomy places the organism in Eukaryota, Metazoa, Chordata, Mammalia, Primates, Hominidae.
GCGGAAAAGGUAGCUUGGCGGCUUGUGCUAAAGAAGGGCCUUUGAAGGGUCAACUCCCCUCGGUGACCAGUGGUCCUCCUUUCUGAAGGCUCUUGCUACAAAGGAAAGAUGAGGAUAUUCUAUUUCUUGAUCCCUCUCAGCUACUGGGAGCUGCUUUGUGCCUUGGAAGCCUCAAGCUGAAAUGGAUGUCAGCCUCAAGUUUAACUCCAAGAGGGUUCACCUUGUUUCUUUGAACAAAA